Long non-coding RNA from Rosa chinensis, 698 nucleotides. RefSeq lists it as uncharacterized. Lineage: Eukaryota; Viridiplantae; Streptophyta; Magnoliopsida; Rosales; Rosaceae. The transcript has 2 exons. The record is from RefSeq and is a predicted model, not a curated record.
AAGGAAGCUAUACUGUUCACUAUAAUUACAAAUAUAACUCUGUCAGUCAUUGAGUUAGAUGAUCUGGAUUGCUUGAUCAAGUGUGGGACUCUUUCCUCUCUACGAGCAGGUUGAGCUAUUUGUAGGGCAACUUUUUGACGUUACAUUCUGCCAGCUUCUUUAGAAAGAUUACUUUAGUGUAAGAGAUGAAAUUUUGUGUUUAUAGUUUUAUUGUAUAUCUAGGUGUCCUAUAGAAUUUUAAGCUGUAAUUCUAUGUUUGUAGUUUUAUUGUAUAUGUGGGACUGUUUGUAUGCGUAAUUUGUUAAAUGUUUUCAACUCAAAAUUUAGUAGUGCCUAAAAAAUUAAAAAAUUAAAAUGCAGGUCAGGAAGGCAAAGAAAAAGAAGCUUCAGCAUGCACGGAAGACCAUGGGGGAUUAUUGCACAUUGACAGGAUCACCGAUUGAUUCGUUUGUAUCACAUGUUCCAAUCUUGCUUAUACGUGGUCUAGCAAGGAUAUACCAAUUUCCUUGAAGAAAGAAGAAAUAAACAUUGCAGGCUGGUUCUGCUUUCGGUGGGUAUCCCAUCAAUACAACUCAUGCAAGCAAGUUCAUACUGUUGAAAUCAAAUGCACACCAUCUAGAAUAUUAGAUGCUUAAUUUAACCUUCAUUGUUGCUUCUGUUUGAAUAAGAUCAUUAUUGAAAUAAGUUUUUCGUUCAGA